AGGUCGACAUCGCAGGCCCCGAGCCCGACCCGGUCUAUGUCCAUCCACGCUGUCGCGCCGCUCCUGUCCGCGGGCUGCCCAUCAAAACGCGCGGGCUCCACCAAGCUGCAAGCGGGAGGCCCACUUUAUCCAGGGCCCAUGCGGCGGGCUCGUCCCGGAGCGAGCGCGUGGCCGGACAGCUGCUGGUCCCCGGAACCCCAACUGAGCCCUCUGGAAUUGGAAUUCGAAUCUCUGCGCCUGCACGUACUAUGCCG
This 254-nucleotide long non-coding RNA is filed under the name Setaria viridis. RNAcentral's name for it is "long non-coding RNA (SVIR_LNC000779)". Lineage: Eukaryota; Viridiplantae; Streptophyta; Magnoliopsida; Poales; Poaceae. The record is from RNAcentral.